GUUGAGUUAAAAAUGGCCGAGAGCUUCACAAUCUGCAGCACAACCGAUUUAGCUUAUGUCGCAGGUUGUGUCGAUCGUCAGAUAUUCACACCGAGAACGACACAACCCGCGACACAACCGAUUCAGCUUAUGUCGUUUUUACUGGAAAUGGCUGACGUGGCAUUUUCGUUACUCUGAUUUUAUACCUCACUUUCUCUGGAAUCUUCCAUCUUUUUACCCAUUCUAGGGUAGAUCUCUGAACCAUAUAAAAGCCCCUUUAUAUAUUUCUUUCCAUAAGGAGAGAAAGAGAGAGAUUUUUGGCAAGAAAGAAGGAGAGAAAGAAGGGCACGUCUGGUUUGGCAAGCAGCAGCAGAGGACAUUUCUGCAACUCUCCAGCAGCUGAUACUUCAUCAUUCUACUGGGUUUUUCUAUUCCUUAGCUUAGAUUUUCAUUAUUUCUUCAUUUCUAUACUUGGGUUUGUCUUGAAACCAUGAUUUGUGAGUAGAACUUUGAGAUUCUAGAGAUGGGUAUGUAAAUAUUGCCUUGUAUUGUGGUUUUUGAACUGAUUUAGCUAUUUAAAUGAGAUUUGUUGUAUUUUUUAUUUAUUGUCUUGCGAGCUUAUUGUCUUGCUUGAUAAAGGGUCCUCAUUAAGUUAUGUCUUAAUCCUUUACAAAUGGACUAAAAUGUGAAUAUUUGGGAUAGAUAAUCUUGCAAUAAACUUAGUUUUCUUGGUGUUAGAGAUAAGCUAAGAGGAUUAAGGGGACAUUCCAAAAUCAAUUAGAGCUUUAAUUGGGUUUUUGUUAAGUUUGAAAUACCGUGAAAACAGGGUUUGAUUUAAUGAAAACCAAUUUUGAGAUGCUUGAAAAAGGUUUCAAAAAUUUAAGAAUUGAUUUCCCUCAAAAUUGCAAUUCUCAUGUGUUUGGCUAAAUUAGGGAAAAAUCACAUGCAAACAAUAUUGAAAAUCCAAUCUCUAGAAUCAAUUUAUUUUUCAUUGAAAUUAGAUAUAAAUCCUCCAAACCUCAUAAAUAGCAAUUUCAAUUAAAAUCCAAUUUAAAUUUAAUUCCAAUUUAAAUCCAAUAUCUAGAAUUACUUUAUUUUUUUUUAGAUUUAAUUCUUCUUAAUUUCAUAAAUAGAAAUUUCAAAUUAAUUUUUGGUAAUCUAGUUUAAUUAAUUUUAGUUAAUUGAUUGAUCUAGUUUUAAUUCCUCAAAUACCAAUUUUAAUUCCAAAUUUCAUUUUACAUCUUUAAUUUUUGUCUUAAUUUUAAUUUUUAGAUUUUAUUUUUAAUAUCUUUUAAUUUUUGUCAUUCUAAUUAGCUUAUACUUUUAUUUCCAAUUUAAGCACAAUUCCCUGUGGGAUCGAUAUCAAUUUUUAAAACUAUACUACUGUGACCCGUGCACUUGCGGACACACCGUAUCAAUUUCAACCCAGAAAUUGAAAAAUUCUGUCGAGCCAACAAAAAAGAGUACAAAAAAAGAAAAGAAGCAGAAAAAGAAGAACAACAAAUAUUUGAGCAAGAGGAGACAAUAGAAAAUAUGGAGAAUCAAAAUAGAGCUAUUGGAGGAGAUAAUGGAGGAAACGAGCAAAACGGGCAAAAUGCUGUUGUUAAUCAAAAUGAUCCUCAAAGAAGAUCCAUGUUAGAUUAUGCUUUUCCUAGAUGUACUGAUGUGAGAGAUAACAGACCUAUUAUUGGAGCUAAUCAAUUUGAGUUAAAAACUGAUCUCAUUCAAAUGGUUCAGAAUUCACAAUUUGGAGGUAGCCCACUUGAAAAUCCUCAUUCUCAUUUGAAGAAAUUUUUGAUGAUAUGUGGUACACAAAGACAACCUGGAGUUUCUGAUGAAGUUAUUCGGCUCACCUUAUUUCCAUUCUCUCUUCGGGAUUCAGCAUUGGAGUGGUAUGACUCACUCCCACAAGCUAUUAUAGCUACUUGGGAGCAGCUAUCUCAAGCUUUUCUAUCUCAAUUUUUCCCACCCGGGAAAACUACUCAUUUGAGGAAUUUGAUGGUAGCUUUUAAACCAAGAGAUGAUGAAACUUUGUAUGAAUCUUGGAUGAGAUUUAAGGAGCUUGAAAGGCAAUGUCCUCAUCAUGAAAUACCGAAAUGGAUGAUUGUUCAGAAUUUCUACACCAGAGUUACUCCAGCCAUAAGAAACACAAUUGAUUCACAAGCAGGAGGAGAUUUCAUGAGAAUGACAAGUGAAGAAUGCUAUGAUCUAUUAGAGAAGAUUGCUCAUAAUACCCAUUUAUGGGGAAAUCCUAGAGCACUUGAGCCAAAGAAAGCUGGGAUCUAUGAACUAGACUCAGUUAGCUACAUGAAUGCAAGAUUUGAUCAGUUGACUCAGCUUCUUAGUGAUUUUUGCACAAAGGCAACAACCUCAACUCCUACAACUAUGCAACAAGUUGCCUUCACAGAUGGAACUCAAAGUUGUGGAGUUGAUUACUCUUCUUAUGGUGAUGAUUAUUUGCAGGAGCAAGCUGCUUAUGCAGGAGGUUAUCAAUAGAAACCUAUGGGAAAUGCUUACUCUAAUGUGAACAACUCAACAUGGAGACCACAAGCAACUUUUGCUCAACAAGGCCAAAGCUCAAAUUAUGCUCAUAACCAGCAGUUUAUGCAGCAAAAUAGGCCUCAAUUUCAGCCUCAAUUUCAGCCCACAAGGCAGCCACCACCUGGAUAUCAAGCAAGAGCACAACAAUCCCUUCCACCUCAUGAACCGAAGCCAACCUUGGAAAGCAUGAUGGAGAAAUUUUUUGCUGAACAAAGCAAGAUGAAUAGCAAAUUGGAGGAAGAAAUGCAACACAUGAGACAAACCAUGGAUCAAUUACAAGUCCACAACCGCAUGUUGGAGACUCAAUUGGCGCAACAAGCAAGCUCAUCAGGAAGCAAUUCCUAUGGGAAACUACCUAGCCAACCACAAAACCCUCAUGAACAAUGUAAGGCUGUAACCUUGAGAAGUGGUAAAAAAGUUGGUCAAGAGAGUGAAAACAAGAGAGAAGAAAAAGAGAGCACAAAAGAAGAAAAUUCAGUUGAGAGCAAAAAAAAUGAAAAAGAAGAAAAAAACAAAAGUGAGCAGGAUGAGGGAGAGAAGCCAUACAUCCCACCUAAGCCUUAUAAGCCUACUCUACCCUAACCUCAAAGAUUCAUCAAGCAUAAACUAGACAAACAAUUUGGAAAAUUCCUUGCAGUGCUAAAGAAGUUGUAUAUCAAUGUGCCAUUCACUGAGGCACUAUCCCAAAUGCCAAGUUAUGCGAAGUUUUUUAAGGAGAUUUUUACCAACAAGAGAAGGCUGGAGGAUUAUGAUACCAUCAAUUUGGGAGAGCAAUGCAGUGCUAUAAUUCAGAAAAAGUUACCUCCCAAACUCAAAGAUCCGGGUGUGUUUUCCAUCCCUUGUCAUAUUGGUGAUAAUUGUGUGGCAAAUGCUUUAUGUGACCUUGGAGCUAGCGUCAGCCUAAUGCCUCUUUCAAUAUAUGAGAAGUUGAAUAUGGGAGAAUUGAAGCCCACAAACAUGUAUCUUUCAUUAGCUGACCGUUCAAUUAAGUAUCCGGAAGGCAUUCUUGAAAAUGUGCCUAUCAAGGUUGGGAAAUUUUACAUUCCGGUGGACUUUGUCAUUUUGGAUAUGGAAGAAGACACGAAAGUUCCUAUCUUAUUGGGAAGACCCUUUUUGGCAACAGCUGGUGCAUUAAUUGAUGUGAAGGGUGAGCAAUUGACGCUUAGAGUGGGAGAUGAUCAAAUGAUAUUCAACAUCAAUCCAGCCAUGAAAAGGAAACAUGAAGAAGUUGAGUCUUGUUUGCGGGUAGACAUUAUUGAUGAGAUUGUUCAAGAGCAUUUCAGAAAAAGCUAUCCACAAGACCCACUUGAAAAUUGCUUAGUCCAUGGUGGGAGCAUUAAUGAUGAAAAUCACAACAUGGCUAUUUUUGCACAACACUUGGAGAGCUCUCCACCACAUCCUGAAGCCACAAUUUUUCAACUUGAAGAAGUGCAAAAUUUGGAGAUCAAACCACCAUCAUUAAAGGUAGAGGAUGCCCCAAAGGUAGAUCUUAAACCUCUUCCUUCCAACCUCAGGUAUGCUUUUCUUGGACCCAAUGGAACAUAUUCUGUCAUAAUUAAUACAUCUUUGACUGAUAUUGAGAAUGAAAAAUUGUUGAGAGUUUUGAGAGAAUAUAGAAGAGUUUUGGGUUAUGCAAUUGAUGAUAUAAAGGGAAUUAGCCCAACAGUUUGUAUGCAUAGGAUUUUCCUAGAGCCAAAUAGUAAACCUUCCAUUGAACACCAAAGAAGAUUGAAUCCUACAAUGAAGGAUGUUGUGAAAAAGGAAAUCCUGAAAUUACAAGCUGCUGGACACAAAAGACUUUUACAACUUGAUGAGUUAGAAGAAUUAAGACUUGAUGCUUAUGAAAAUGCUAGGAUCUAUAAAGAAAGAACUAAAAAAUGGCAUGAUAAGCAUAUCAAGAAAAAGGACUUUAAAGAAGGAGAUUUGGUUCUCUUAUUCAAUUCAAGGUUGAAAUUUUUUUCGGGAAAAUUAAAAUCAAGGUGGUCAGGUCCAUUCAAAAUUGUGAAAGUUUUACCUCAUGGUGCUGUGGAAAUUUUUGGUGAAAAAUCAGGUAAUUUCAAGGUAAAUGGGCAAAGGUUGAGGCACUAUUCAGUUGGUGAGCCAAUUGAGAAGAUAGCAACUUGCUAUCUUUCUCAUUCUCCAUGAAAUUUUGAGUAAGUAUGGUCAAGCUAAAGACCUAAACUUAGCAUUUUUGUGCAUAACUCCCAAUUUUUUCUUUCAUUUGUUUUAAGUUUAUUUUUAUUUUUAUUUUUAUUUUUAUUUUUAUU
RNAcentral lists this unclassified non-coding RNA (4787 nucleotides) under Hevea brasiliensis (rubber tree). Lineage: Eukaryota; Viridiplantae; Streptophyta; Magnoliopsida; Malpighiales; Euphorbiaceae. The record is from RNAcentral.